CACGUACUUUAAUUUUUGUCAACUAUAUUUUAUUAGUCGUUUUGCAGUAGUUAUGACUUAUGAGAGCCUUUUUAUUAUUAUUUAAGUUGGAUUCUAUUUCUUUAUUUGAGUUAUUCUAGGCUAAUGAAUUUGUUCUAUUAUAAAUGGAGUGGUUAUUUUUUUUUUUAAAUCAUUGUGGUUAAUAAAAAUCACUUCUUAUAAUUCUAAAGGGAUUAUUUAUCAAAAUUUC
RNAcentral lists this long non-coding RNA (229 nucleotides) under Citrus maxima (pomelo). RNAcentral's name for it is "long non-coding RNA (CMAX_LNC002950)". Lineage: Eukaryota; Viridiplantae; Streptophyta; Magnoliopsida; Sapindales; Rutaceae. The record is from RNAcentral.